GCUGCUGUCUUUUUGUCGAUCCCAAUCCUAAAGACGUUGAAACCUUUGCAUGCCAUGCAUCAACGCCUGGCGUACGUACACAAUUAAGCUAGAAGUUCCUCAGUUACACCAUGGGGGCGUGCAUGAUACAUCUGGCAGCCGAGUAUAACUGUUAGAUAAAGGUAUUAACAUUGCUACUAAUAAUUCCAAAAAAAAUCGCCAAUACAGUGAACAGUGGACUGCACUAUGAUCCGCAGAAAGAAAACAAUACCGACGACGAUCGAGCAAGUCUCGGUCACUGUCAGAUAUAUAUGCUCACUGCCACGAAAAAAAAAACACUCGUGGUGUUUCAGGUUGGGGUCGGCAUCUGAUCUGCACCAAGAGGUUUCACUUCGUGCUGCCCAAGAGGGAACUGUCAGUGGAGGCUGACGGCCUGCACUACGGGAUCAACCACGGCCCGGAGAAACCGUCCAAAGGCACGGCGACCUCCAGGGGCCACCUGCUGCACGGCGUGGUGCACCUCAACGGCUUCGGCCACCUCGUUGCCCUGCACGGCUUCGAGGGCGGCUCCGAAUUCGUCGCCGGCCACCAGAUCAUGGACCUCUGGGAUCGCAUCUGCUCCUCCCUAAACGUCAGGUGUGUGCAACGUUUGUUAUUUAUUAUAUAUGCCCCGUGCACUGCAUUUGAUCGAGUUCAUGACGACUAGUGUUUCGUUUGGUUAUUACUCUAUUAUUAUGCAUUGCAAAGGAAGGUGAGCCUCGUCGACACGGCGAGGAAGGGGCACAUGGAGCUGCGGCUGCUCCACGGCGUCGCGUACGGCGACACGUGGUUCGGGCGGUGGGGCUACCGGUUCGGCCGGCCCAGCUACGGCGUCGCGCUGCCGUCGUACCAGCAGUCGCUGCACGCGCUCCAGUCGGUGCCGCUCUGCGUGCUGGUGCCGCACCUGUCGUGCUUCAGCCAGGACCUCCCCGUGGUGGUGACCAAGUACCAGGCCAUCAGCGGCCACAAGCUGCUGAACCUCGGCGACCUCCUGCGCUUCAUGCUCGAGCUGCGGACGCGCCUCCCGGCGACCUCCGUCACCGCCAUGGACUACCGCGGCAUCAUGUCGGAGGCCUCGUGCCGGUGGUCGGCCAAGCGCGUGGACAUGGCGGCCCGCGCGGUGGUGGACGCGCUCCGCCGCACCGAGCCGCCCGCGCGGUGGGUCACGCGGCAGGAGGUGCGCGACGCCGCGCGCGCCUACAUCGGCGACACGGGCCUCCUCGACUUCGUGCUCAAGUCCCUCGGCAACCACAUCGUCGGCAACUACGUCGUGCGCCGCGCCAUGAACCCGGUCACCAAGGUGCUCGAGUACUGCCUGGAGGACGUCUCCAGCGUGCUCCCGGCGGUGGGCGGCGGCGGCGGCAAGAUGAGGGUGCGGUUCCAGCUCACGCGGGCGCAGCUCAUGAGGGACCUGACGCACCUGUACCGCCACGUGCUCAGGGAGCCGAGCCAGGCGCUCACCACCGGCGCCUUCGGCGCGAUCCCCGUGGCAGCGCGGAUGGUCUUGGACACCAAACACUUCGUCAAAGAUUACCACGAAGGUUUCGCUCCGAUCAACAGUGUCGGAGCUGGGCACGUCCACAUGAACCUGUGUUGCACGCUGCUUGUGAGGAACGGGAGCCCGGAGCUGGUGGCGCCGCCGUACGAGACGGUGACCCUGCCGGCGCAUGCAACGGUGGGCGAGCUCAAGUGGGAGGUGCAGAGGCUGUUCAGGGAGAUGUACCUCGGCCUGAGGACCUUCACGGCCGAGUCCGUCGCCGGGGUCGGCGUCAGCAAGGACGCUUGCCCGGUGCUCGGGCUCAUCGACGUGGGAAGCGCC
RNAcentral lists this long non-coding RNA (1837 nucleotides) under Sorghum bicolor (sorghum). Its description in RNAcentral is "long non-coding RNA (SBIC_LNC003628)". Lineage: Eukaryota; Viridiplantae; Streptophyta; Magnoliopsida; Poales; Poaceae. The record is from RNAcentral.